RNAcentral lists this non-coding RNA (951 nucleotides) under Ariomma lurida (ariommid). Its description in RNAcentral is "12S rRNA". It matches the Rfam family "Bacterial small subunit ribosomal RNA". Lineage: Eukaryota; Metazoa; Chordata; Actinopteri; Scombriformes; Ariommatidae. The record is from RNAcentral.
CAAAGGUUUGGUCCUGACUUUACUGUCAACUCUAGCUAAACUUACACAUGCAAGUAUCCGCGACCCCGUGAGAAUGCCCAUAGUUUUCUGCCCGAAAACAAGGAGCCGGUAUCAGGCACACCCUAUUUAAGCCCACGACGCCUUGCUUAGCCACACCCUCAAGGGAACUCAGCAGUGAUAAACCUUAAGCUAUAAGUGAAAACUUGACUUAGUAAAAAGCUAAGAGGGCCGGUAAAACUCGUGCCAGCCACCGCGGUUAUACGAGAGGCCCAAGUUGACAGACACCGGCGUAAAGCGUGGUUAAGAAUAAAUUGAAACUAAAGCCGAACACCUCCAGAGCAGUUAUACGUAUCCGGAGACACGAAGCCCCAUCACGAAAGUGGCUUUAAUAACCCCUGACCCCACGAAAGCUAUGGCACAAACUGGGAUUAGAUACCCCACUAUGCUUAGCCGUAAACAUUGAUAGAAUACUACACCCCCUAUCCGCCCGGGUACUACGAGCAUUAGCUUAAAACCCAAAGGACUUGGCGGUACUUUAGAUCCCCCUAGAGGAGCCUGUUCUGUAACCGAUAACCCCCGUUAAACCUCACCCUCCCUUGUUUUUCCCGCCUAUAUACCGCCGUCGUCAGCUUACCCUGUGAGGGACUUAUAGUAAGCAAAAUUGGCAUUGCCCAGAACGUCAGGUCGAGGUGUAGUACAUGAGAGGGGAAGAAAUGGGCUACAUUCGCUAGCAUAGCGAAUACGAAUGAUGUAAUGAAAACGUACAUACUGAAGGAGGAUUUAGCAGUAAGUGGAAAAUAGAGUGUUCCACUGAAGUUGGCUCUAAAGUGCGCCCACACCGCCCGUCACUCUCCCCAAGCUUAUCAAACCUACUUAACUAAAACAAUACAAUCGCAAAGGGGAGGCAAGUCGUAACAUGGUAAGUGUACCGGAAGGUGCACUUGGAAAAAU